This 498-nucleotide ribosomal RNA is filed under the name Amanita neo-ovoidea. Its description in RNAcentral is "partial large subunit ribosomal RNA". It matches the Rfam family "Eukaryotic large subunit ribosomal RNA", at positions 111 to 608 of the family's 3401-position model. The record is from RNAcentral. Lineage: Eukaryota; Fungi; Basidiomycota; Agaricomycetes; Agaricales; Amanitaceae.
AAAUUUAAAAUCUGACAGUGUUCACUGUCCGAAUUGUAGCCUAGAGAAGUGUUACCCGUGCUGGACCAUGUAUAAGUCUCCUGGGAUGGAGCGUCACAGAGGGUGAGAAUCCCGUGUUUGACAUGGACUACCAGUGCAUUGUGGUAUGCUCUCAAAGAGUUGAGUUGUUUGGGAUUGCAGCUCUAAAUGGGUGGUAAAUUCCAUCUAAAGCUAAAUAUUGGCGAGAGACCGAUAGCGAACAAGUACCGUGAGGGAAAGAUGAAAAGAACUUUGGAAAGAGAGUUAAACAGUAUGUGAAAUUGUUGAAAGGGAAACGCUUGAAGUCAGUCGCAUUGGUUUGGGAUCAAGUCGGCUCUUUUGCUGACUGUACUUCCUUACCAAUGGGUCAACAUGAGUUUUGACCACUAGAGAAAGGCUUUGGGAAUGUGGCACCUUUUAAGGUGUGUUAUAGCCCUUGGUUGUAUGUAGUGGUUGGGACUGAGGAAAACAGCGUGCCGC